AAAAGAUUCUCGAACCUUCUAAAGAGGUUGCUUUGCAACUACUGGAGUCUGGUCGCCAUAAUUUCCCGACAAGGAAACUGGGUCUAGAUAUGCUCCGACAGCUUUCUCUACAUCAUGAUUAUGUGUCUCUGCUCGUUCAAGAUGGAUAUUACCUUGAAGCAUUGCGCUACACACGGAAGUUUAAUGUUGACACAGUCCGGCCAGCCUUGUUUCUUCAAGCCGCUUUCGCGACCAACGACUCGCAACAUUUGUCAGCAGUUUUGAGAUUCCUGUCAGAUUCAACUCCUGGAUUCAAAGAUACCUCAGAUUACAGUAGGUACCAUCACAUUCUCACUGAAAUGAACUCUUGUGCUUCUGCUUGAGAUUUUUGAGAGCUAGUCGUUGUACGGAUUAAGCAGCAAAUGUCAAGGA
This 411-nucleotide unclassified non-coding RNA is filed under the name Hevea brasiliensis (rubber tree). The record is from RNAcentral. Lineage: Eukaryota; Viridiplantae; Streptophyta; Magnoliopsida; Malpighiales; Euphorbiaceae.